GCCGGCGUAGCUCAGUGGUAGAGCAACUGAUUCGUAAUCAGUUGGUCGGAGGUUCAACUCCUCUCGCCGGCUCCA
This 75-nucleotide transfer RNA is filed under the name bacterium. Its description in RNAcentral is "tRNA-Thr". It matches the Rfam family "tRNA". Rfam says of the family: Transfer RNA (tRNA) molecules are approximately 80 nucleotides in length. Their secondary structure includes four short double-helical elements and three loops (D, anti-codon, and T loops). The record is from RNAcentral.